UUUGCAGGCUUAGUUAACUGGGUUGGUAAGUACUUCAUCAAAGAUAUUCCUCAGGUGGGUUAAACCCUUUUCUUAUUUCAAUUCCGCGAUCCAUGUAUAAGGGAGCAACUGUCGCCUUCAACUUGACUCGUUCCUCGUUUCGUGCAGGGAGCAGCGACGACAUGUUAUGUAGCUUUGCAUCCAGCAGUGAGGAGUGAGCGGUGAGAUUUUUCGGACAGCAACGUCGGGCAGCCGACGAAACUGGCCACGGAUGCUCAGCUGGCUCAGAAACUGUGGGACUUCAGCUUGAAAUUGACGAACCCUAAAUAGUUCCACUUUGAUUCCUCGAAUCUUGUUGUCAUCACCUGUGAAUUUUUCAUCACAUGUUACUGGCCUGCCACAAUUUUAUUCUCUUCAUAGAUACAAACAUUUGAUAUAUUUCCUGAUGUUGAUGCAUGCUUGAUAUUUAUGGUUUUAGUUCUGUGAUUUGGCACUCGAAAUUAUAUCAAGAUGAGACCCCUCAUACACCAGUACGUACUCGCUCGAGACCACAUGUAGAUUUCACCACGUGUUACCAACCAAAAAGUGUUUCCUCAUAUGUCUGUAGCUCAUACAUCAGAUAUGCUUUUAAUACCUCCCCAACUCUGAUCUUCUCGAGCUGUUAUCUCUCAUGUCUCCUUUACUCUGUAUCAGAUCUUAGCUGAGCUCGUAAGCAUGAUCAGUAUUUUGCUGCUCGCGUAUGGGCUUAUUCCUCAGUAUUUUGGUCUUUCUUAUGGUAAUGAAGAUGGCCUGAAUACCAUCCUCAUUACGAUAUUAAUUAUUUUUUUGUAGUUAUUUGUGUGUAAAGGAAUAUAUAUGAAGGCUUGGGGUCGGAUCUACGACAAAUAGCAAAAGACAAUUUGGGGUAGGCGGUAUGAGCUACGAUCAAAUACACCCAAACAAACCCACGAGCUAUUUCAAACAAAUAACAACAAUGGUUAAACACUUCUCGGCUUGGCACAUCCUCCACCAAUCUCAACAAUUCGCCUCUAUCGACGAGACGUCCAUUCUUUAAAAAGNGUAUGCGCUCUUUGAUUUCCAAAAGAUACAGACUGCUAUGAAACAAAGUUCUUGCUAAAAACAUCAAGGAUUUAAAUAGAGGGAGUAUGAAUGAAAGGUUACGAUUCUCUUAUGGAUGCACUUUUUCCAUGGGAGGAUUAUAAAAGAAAAAAUCUCAAACUCUCUGUUUGUUAAGUCCUUUAUAUCCCUUAAAUUUGGGGAACAUUGUCACGCUAAGUUAGUAACGAAUGUCUUAUUUCUUUCUUGAACUCAACUCAAUAUGGUAAUGGUUAUUUCUUGUAUUAUUGCUCCACAGUUACAAUAGCAUACUCGCAUAUGGACAGUCCAAGCUGGCUAACGUAUUGCACGCUAAUGAACUCACGAGGCUCUUUCAGGUAAUCAAUGCCGUGGCAUUUCAGGAGGAAUUAGAAAACAAUUUAAACUUGUCGAGCCUUGGAUGUAUCUGUCAUUGCAGAUUCUGUUUGUUUCCACCUGUGUUCAUAUAUCUAGUGAUAUUAAACAGGUGGACCCUACCGGUUAUGGGCUAGUCUUAGCGGGCUACGUGCUAUAUGCUCCUGCCCAGUUUAAUAUAGUUCGAAAUGGUCAGACCAAAAGAAGCUGGGUUUAUGUAGGUUAAUAAAAUCGAACAUGGCCCGUUAACACCUCUAUAUAUAUACACACAGGUUUAUGUAGGUUAAUAAAAUCGAACAUGGCCCGUUAACACCUCUGUGUUUGUAUUUGAUUGAUCUGUCGUAACCUUUUGGAUAUGGAAUGAAGCUUUUAUGUAGAUAUGUUGAUUAUGGUAGGUUUAACUUACUAGUAAUAGUUUGUCAAAAUCGAGUUCGUAGUGUACCAAGAUAUAGCCGAACUGCCUAAGUUUACACUUGUAUCAAGAUUAUAUAUGUACGAAGGAGCUCGUCUACCUGUGCUGAUAUUCGUCUCAACACUUGGUGCAUUCUGCAGCAUGCUCUUUGCGAUUUGUAAGACUUUUUAGCAAUGAAACGUCGCAACAUUGGUUUUUUUCUUUGCUACUACAGGAAAAGGGGUCAAAAUAACUGCUAACUCACUACAUCCGGGAGCAAUCGCCACCAACCUUCUGCGGCAUCAUGGCCUCAUCGAAGGUUACCAUCGACUCCUAUACUUGUAUUACUUGGAAGAAGAUCCAAUUUAUUUUUAUGGUGGUGUGAAAUUUGUGUGUUUUCUCGUUUGCAGGCUUAGUUAACUGGGUUGGUAAGUACUUCAUCAAAGAUAUUCCUCAGGUGGGUUAAACCCUUUUCUUAUUUCAAUUCCGCGAUCCAUGUAUAAGGGAGCAACUGUCGCCUUCAACUUGACUCGUUCCUCGUUUCGUGCAGGGAGCAGCGACGACAUGUUAUGUAGCUUUGCAUCCAGCAGUUGAAGGAGUGAGCGGUGAGUAUUUUUCGGACAGCAACGUCGGG
This 2453-nucleotide long non-coding RNA is filed under the name Salvia miltiorrhiza (redroot sage). Its description in RNAcentral is "long non-coding RNA (SMIL_LNC006824)". The record is from RNAcentral. Lineage: Eukaryota; Viridiplantae; Streptophyta; Magnoliopsida; Lamiales; Lamiaceae.